AAUAGAUACCCGGGUAGUCCACGCCGUAAACGAUGUCGACUUGGAGGUUGUUCCCUUGAGGAGUGGCUUCCGGAGCUAACGCGUUAAGUCGACCGCCUGGGGAGUACGGCCGCAAGGUUAAAACUCAAAUGAAUUGACGGGGGCCCGCACAAGCGGCGGAGCAUGUGGUUUAAUUCGAUGCAACGCGAAGAACCUUACCUACUCUUGACAUCCAGAGAACUUAGCAGAGAUGCUUUGGUGCCUUCGGGAACUCUGAGACAGGUGCUGCAUGGCUGUCGUCAGCUCGUGUUGUGAAAUGUUGGGUUAAGUCCCGCAACGAGCGCAACCCUUAUCCUUUGUUGCCAGCGGUUCGGCCGGGAACUCAAAGGAGACUGCCAGUGAUAAACUGGAGGAAGGUGGGGAUGACGUCAAGUCAUCAUGGCCCUUACGAGUAGGGCUACACACGUGCUACAAUGGCGUAUACAAAGAGAAGCGACCUCGCGAGAGCAAGCGGACCUCAUAAAGUACGUCGUAGUCCGGAUUGGAGU
This 527-nucleotide ribosomal RNA is filed under the name uncultured bacterium. RNAcentral's name for it is "bacterial SSU rRNA". It matches the Rfam family "Bacterial small subunit ribosomal RNA", at positions 777 to 1304 of the family's 1533-position model. The record is from RNAcentral.